Molecule: unclassified non-coding RNA, 510 nt
Filed under: uncultured Glomus
Lineage: Eukaryota; Fungi; Glomeromycota; Glomeromycetes; Glomerales; Glomeraceae
Description: SSU rRNA
Rfam family: Eukaryotic small subunit ribosomal RNA
Source: RNAcentral
AGCAGCCGCGGUAAUUCCAGCUCCAAUAGCGUAUAUUAAAGUUGCUGCAGUUAAAAGCUCGUAGUUGAAUUUCGGGACCAUCAUGUUGGUCGUGCCUCGGUACGUACUGGCAUUGUUGGUUUCUCCCUUCUGACGAACCAUGAUGUCAUUUAUUUGGUGUCGUGGGAAAUCAGGACUGUUACUUUGAAAAAUUAGAGUGUUUAAAGCAGGCUCACGCUUGAAUACAUUAGCAUGGAAUAAUGAAAUAGGACGUUUGAUUCUAUUUUGUUGGUUUCUAGGAUCGACGUAAUGAUUAAUAGGGAUAGUUGGGGGCAUUAGUAUUCAAUUGUCAGAGGUGAAAUUCUUGGAUUUAUUGAAGACUAACUACUGCGAAAGCAUUUGCCAAGGAUGUUUUCAUUAAUCAAGAACGAAAGUCAGGGGAUCGAAGACGAUCAGAUACCGUCGUAGUCUUAACCAUAAACUAUGACCGACUAGGGAUCGGAUGAUGUUAAUUUUUAAUGUACUCAUUCC